This is a long non-coding RNA of Pundamilia nyererei, 217 nucleotides long. RefSeq lists it as uncharacterized. The record is from RefSeq and is a predicted model, not a curated record. NCBI's taxonomy places the organism in Eukaryota, Metazoa, Chordata, Actinopteri, Cichliformes, Cichlidae. The transcript is spliced from 2 exons.
UGAGAGUGUGGUGGAACUCUCUCCGACGCUGGAUCAUUGUGUGGCUUCACGAGUUACGGGGAGAUGAGAGGACAGCGAGCACGGGGUGCUCAUCACGGAGAAGCGGAGACAGGAGCACUAGCACUGGGAAGAGGACACGUCAUGGGAGUCGGGAGAGCACGGGAUUUAUUGUCAUGUCUGUCCAUCACUGUAAAUAAAGGCACUGCUUGUACAUAGA